This 40-nucleotide ribosomal RNA is filed under the name Izhakiella capsodis. Its description in RNAcentral is "23S rRNA. Bacterial LSU". The record is from RNAcentral. Lineage: Bacteria; Pseudomonadati; Pseudomonadota; Gammaproteobacteria; Enterobacterales; Erwiniaceae.
UUGAGCUGACCGGUACUAAUGACCCGUGAGGCUUAACCUU